UACUUUAAGACUAAGUAAAAAUUUUUAGGUUGUAGUUAAAUGAGUGAUUUAGAAACUAUAUGGGCAAUAAAGGGUAAAAUCAGAAUAUUGUUUUGUAUAAGAAAAAAUUUUAGUUGAAGCUAGGAAAUUUUAGUCAUAAACUAGGAUUAGAUACCCUAUUAUUCUAAAAUGAAUUAUUUAAACUUAAUUAGUAAGAGAUAAAUACUUAAAAUUUAAAAAAUUUGGCGGCAAUUUAAUCUUUUCAGAGGAACCUGUUUUAUAAUCGAUAAACCACGAAAAAUCUUACUUGCUUUUGUAAAACAGUUUGUAUACCAUCAUUAUCAGAUAAUUCUUAGAAGAAAAAUUAUUAAAUUUGGUUUAUCAGAAAAAUUAGAUCAUGGUGCAGUUAAUGAGCAAGUUAAAAUGGGUUACAAUAAAUUACUUUAUAACGGAUUAAGCAAAAUAAUUUUGCUAUGAAGGAGGAUUUGAUUGUAUUUUCAGUUUAAUAAGCUAAAAAGAUAUAAGUUCUAAAUUGUGUACAUAUCGCCCGUCGCUUUCAUUUAUAAGUGAAAUAAGUCGUAACAUA
This 565-nucleotide ribosomal RNA is filed under the name Helicana wuana. RNAcentral describes it as "partial 12S ribosomal RNA". Lineage: Eukaryota; Metazoa; Arthropoda; Malacostraca; Decapoda; Varunidae. The record is from RNAcentral.